GCAAGUCGAACGAUGAAGACUAGCUUGCUAGGUGGAUUAGUGGCGGACGGGUGAGUAAUGUAUCGGAACGUAUCUACUUAUGGGGGGCAACUAGCCGAAAGGUUAGCUAAUACCGCAUACGCCCUGAGGGGGAAAGCUGGGGAUCUUCGGACCUAGCGUUAUUGGAGCGGCCGAUAUCUGAUUAGCUAGUUGGUGGGGUAAUGGCCUACCAUGGCGACGAUCAGUAGCUGGUCUGAGAGGACGACC
RNAcentral lists this ribosomal RNA (246 nucleotides) under uncultured bacterium. RNAcentral's name for it is "partial 16S ribosomal RNA". It matches the Rfam family "Bacterial small subunit ribosomal RNA", at positions 57 to 305 of the family's 1533-position model. The record is from RNAcentral.